UCCCACCCCUGGUAACCACUAAUAAACUUUGGUCUCUAUACGUUUGCCUUUUCUGGUCUUUUUCUGUAAGUGAGGUCAUACAAUAUUCGUCCUUUUGUAAUUGACUUAUUUCACUCAGCAUAAUGUCUUCAAGCUCCAAGCGUAAUGUAGCAUGUAUCAAGACUUCAUCUACUGAAGGACCAAGAGCUUCUUGCCAAUUAAAAUUCAAGUAUCUAUAAGGUAUGAUCACUAAUAUGUGCUACAUAAAAUCCAAGUGAUGUAAAACUGAAAAGUAUCCACUGAAUUUUUUUUACUUUAAUAAUGAAAUAUUCAAUAUAUACAAAAUAUAUAGUUUAUAGGUGAAAAUAAUUUUUUGAAAAAUACCUUAUAUAUCCACCAUCCUACUUAAGGAAUGAUACCAAUACCUUUGAUGCCUUCUCCCUUUACCUCAUGCCCACAUAAGCCUGUGACAAAGAUUUCUUCCUUUUCCUUGUUCUAUACCCCCAGAUUUUAAGCUAGGCACAUUUCUCAGGCUUCCUUGCAGCUGUGUUCCUAAAUUCUAGCCAGAAGACAUGAGGGGACUUCAUGUUGCAAUCUCCAGUAACUAAUCUUAAGACAGUCACUUACUCCUCCAUUCCUCCACCUUGCUACUUUGGAUAUGGUUGUAAUCAUCUUAACCAUGUACACGAGGGUAACACUCUCAAAAGAUAAAACCAAAAGGCAGGAGGAGCCUAGGUCCUAGAUAACCAUGUAAAACAUAGGUGUCACACCAGCCCUAGAAUACUUCCAGUCUGUUACAGAGGAGGAAACUUACAUCUUGUUUUCACUAUUUGGGGUUUCUGUUAAAUGCCAUUAAACCUAUAUCUUAACUACCACAAUAUCCUUCCUUAAUCACAUUGUUUUCUCAAACUUUCAGGAGUACCUGCUAUCCUAAAUUUUAUUAUUCUCUUGGUUUUCUUUAGUUUUCCACGUAAAUAUAGGCAUUCCUAUAUAAUUUACUGUUUAAAUCUGCAUGCUUUUAAAAUCCAUAUGGAGAGAAUAAUCCUAAAUGUAUUUUCUUGCCUUUAUUGUACAACAUCAUGUGCAUACGGUUCACUGUUCUUCUGUUUAUAAACAUCUGGACUUCUUCCAGUUUUUUACUAUUACUAAUAAUGCUAAUAUAAGUACUAUUAUAUUUGUCUGGGUACAUGGCUGUUAAGAAUUUUUCUAGAGUACACUGCUAGAAGUGGAGUUGCUGGAUGAUACAAAUGUAUGAAUGCAUAUAUUCAAUUCCAUUAGAUAAGGCUACAUUGUAUUAUAAAGUGGUUGUAAUUAAUUUACACUCCCACAAGCAUUCUCACUGCAUCACAUCAUUGCAAUAUAUUGUUGUUUGAACUGUGUACCCAAAAAGAUACAUAUUAAAUGUGAUAUAUUAGCCUUUUUAAAUAUCACUGGAUUUGAUUAGGUAAUAUUUUAUGAUUUCUGCUUCAGUAUUCAUGAAAGAGAUUGAUAAUAAUUUUCUUCUAAUGUCUUUGUCAGAUUUUGGCAUCAAGGUUUCCUAUCCUUAUGAGUUAGGAUGUGCUCCAUCUUUUUUUGUUGUUUGGAAAGGUUUGCAUAAGACUGGUGUAUUUUUUCUUAAAUACUGGGAAAAUUCACUAGGGAAGCUAUCUGUUGUAGAGAUUUUUUUUUGUGGGAAAAGUUUUCAAUAACUGCUUUAGUAACUCUGACAGAAGUAUUUGUAUUUCGUUUAUUGUAGCAGUUUUAAAAAACUGUUUUAAGAAAUUUGUCGUUUUAUCUUAGUUGUUAUAUUUUUGUCAUAAUCUUACUACAUUUGUGAGAAGAUCUGUAGUGAUGUCCCCUUUUUCGUUCCUGAUAUAAACAAUUCAUGUUUUCUCUUCUUUUUCUUAAAGAAUUUUGCUAGGGGUUUAUCAAUUUCAUUACUCUUUUCAAAAACUCAGCAAUUGGAUUUGCUGAUUUUGUUUUCUAUUUCAUUGUUUUAAGUCUCCUGUUCUGUACAGCCCCAGUAUUCAGCAAAUUUUCUAAGGAGAAAACUGGCCAUUUGCUCAGGCCUCCCAAAACACUACCCCAAAUGUUCCACAUGGCUCUCAACCAUGGGCAUCUGCACCAAAUCUGAAAAAUUCUGCCACAGCUCCAGGAUAAAAAUGGUGUGCAAGUCAGUUAUCCUAGGUUUUACCAUCCUUGGAGACUUAGCUUCUGUAAUUCUUGAGUCAGCAGCUCUCCACUGCCCUAAGAAAAAUGGUAACUGGAUUUUACGUGGCUUUUUCUAGCUGUUCUAGGUGGGACUGCUGGUCUGCAAGCAGGUAAGUGGAAGUCCUAGUAUCUUUUAUAUACUUUGAAAGAUUCAUUUUGCUAAUAUCUUCUGAUUUUUGCAUAUAUGUUCAUCUGUUCCACGUCUUUAAUUUUCUCUUUCUUGAAUUAUACCUGGUUGGUUUUGCUACAAAAAUUAAACUAAUCCUUUGGUUUUGGUACAAAAAUCAAAUUAAUCCCAUAAAACAAGAUAGGGGGCUAUUCCGCUCAUUUAUUCUUUAAAAGAAUUUGUAUAAGACUUAAAUGAUCAGUUUCUUAAUUAUUUCAUAAAGCUUGGCUACAGACAGGGCAUUUUCAUCGUUGUGGGAAGAUGUCUAACCACUGAUUCAUUUUCCUUAAUAGUUUUAAGACAAUUCCGGUUUAACUAUUUCUUCUCAAGUCAAUUUUGAUGAGUUAUAUUCUCCUAGAAAUCUGUGUUGUUUCUUCUAAUUUAUAAUAUAUUCUAAUAUUUUUUUCCUGUCUGCAGCAUCUGUAGUUAUAUAACCUCCAUUCCCAAUCUUUUGGUUUCUCUUUUAUUGAGCAGUCUUACCACAUGAUUGUUAAUUUUAUUAUUUUCUUAAACCAUGUUUGCCUUAGUAAUCAUAUUAUUAUAGAUCAUAUUCUACUUUCUUAAUUUCUCUUCUAAUCUUCAUUGUAUCCUUUAUUGUAUUUGUGUUUCUUUUAUCGUUCUCUAACAUGUUAUUGGGGGCUUUCAUGAACAGUUAUAAAACCAUUCAGGUUUUCUAUUUCUUUUGGAUUCAGCUUUAGUAUCUUACAUAUUUUUAAAGGCCUUUGUCCAUGUUACAUAAGCUUUCAAAUGUAAGGCCAUAAAAUUGCCUUUUUCUCCUCUAUGGUUAUGUAUGAGAAGAUGUAUAUUUUUAACAGGACACAUUGUCACUGUGUAUAAAAAGGUUCUACUUUUAAGAGAGACGGGGUGAAGUAAUAGUGCACAGGCAAUUAGCUAUGAGAUACAUACAAUGCCCAACUAAGAACCAUACUAGCUAAUAAAGCUAGAAGAUGACCAACUCUAAGGUUUAUCAGCAACAGCAUGGAUAAAACUGGCAGAGAGCACAGUAGCAUGAAUCAUAGCUGAAUACCAAACAUUCAAAUUAAAGUAUUUCCUUAAAACAGUAGAAUACUAUUAAAAGACCUGUACAUCAUUUUCUUAUGGAGACAGUCCCUUGCUAAAAGUCAGAAUUCUAAUUCACAUGGCUACUGAAACUCUAGGUAUUAGUUACUUAGUAAUUAAGAUAUUCUGUCCUUUUUAAGUACUCAAUUAUGGUCAUGAAAAGGAAAUUUUAACUUCAAAGAACUCUGAAAAAGGGCUAGCUACAUAUCUACAUUCUUAAUGUAUAUAGCCAUUCCAGAAAGAAGACACAAAAUAGAGGCUACCUAAUAAAGUUGCCUAGGAAUAAUAAGAAUAUGUAUAGUGUGCUAAAAAAAACUUUUAGUGAAGUAAUGAAUAAAAUGUUUCAUUCCUUAGGAAAAAAAAAAUGUUUUUAAUGGUAAAAAAAAAAAAAAAUGAGCUCACUUAUACUUUGAAACUUUUUUUCAAAAAAGUUUAUAAACAUGAACAAAGCUACUAUAAAAUUUAACUUUUAAAAAAGAUGUUUUGGGAGAAAUACUAUUCGGCAGUAUGAAAUCCAAAGGAGUCCUGGGUGGCACAGACAGCUAAGGGCACAAUUACUAGCCAAAAAAUUGGCAAUUUGAAACCACCCAAGGGCACCUCAGAAGACAGGCCUGGCAGUCUGCUUCUUAAAGGUCAAUCUUGAAAACCUUAUGGAAUGCAGUUCUACUCUCCAAACAUGGGGUCGCCAUGAGUCAGAAUCUACUCAGUGCAACUAAUAACAAUCCAAACCAGCAGUGGCUCGAUAUAUUAAUUUCCUAGGUGUUACAGAUUGAAUUAUGACCCCCCCAAAAUAUGCUUUGUAAAUCCUAACCUCUAUGCCUGUGGUUAUAAUCCCUUUGCAUCUUUGUUAUGUUACUGAGACAUGAUUAGUGUAGGGUGUAUCUUGAGAUAAUCUCUUUUGAUAUAUAAAAGAGAUUUUAAAAAAGGCAAGUUAGAAGCAGAGAUGGGGUAAGACAGAUACCAAGACACAUGAAGAUCUCUAAGGAACCAGGAAGCAGAAGUUAGAAAGACUAGGACCUUCCCCUACAGAAAGAGAAAUCCUUCCCCUUCCGAAGAAUACUGAACAUAAUACCAUGGACUGCCAGAAGAACAAGCAAAUCUGUCUUGGAAGAAGUACAGCCAGAAUGCUCCUUAGAAGCAAGGAUGGCAAGACUGUCUCACAUACUUUGGACAUGUUAUCAGGCAGAUCCAGUCCCUGACGAAGGACAUCAUGCUUAGUAAAGUACAGGGUCAAUGAAAAAGAGGAAGAAGACCCUCAACGAAAUGGAUCAACGCAAUGGCUUUAAUAAUGGGCCCAGGUGUAACAGCGAUUGUGAGGAUGGCGCAGGGCCAUCACCUAACAGCAACAACAACAUAAAGAUUAGCCCAUUGCCAUCGUGUCAAUUCCAAUUCAUAGUGACCCUGUAGGACAGAGUAGAACUGCCCCACAGGGUUUCCAAGGAAUGGCUGGUGGACUCAAAGUGCCAACCUUUUGGUUAGCAGCCAAGCUCUUAACCAUUGUGCUACCAGGGCUCCUAACAUAAAGAUUACAGCCUAGGAAACCUUAUGAAGCAGUUCUAUUCUAUCAUAUAAGGUUGCUAUAACUCAGAAUCAACUCAACAGCACACAACAAUAACAACAGUAAGACCUGAAUAGCCGUAACAAUGGACUCAACAUACCAACAUUCAUGAAGAUGGCACAGGACUGGGCAAUGUUUCAUUCUGUUACACAUAAGGUCACCAUGAGUCAGAGCCACACAUAAGGUCACUGUGAGUCAGAGCCAAAUUGAUGGCAACAAAGAACAUUAAGACUUAACUUGAGCAUCUUAACUGGACUCAGUAAUACCAUAAUUUCUGUGCCUCAUCUCUCUCAUCUUGUUUUUUUUUUUUUUGAAAAUUUUUCUUUAACCUUACCAAAUCAGCUAAAAGAGCAGUCAUUUUUUUUUACAAUGUUAUUUUUAAAUAUCUGUUCUUUUCAUUUCAAUUCCAUCAUUCUAACCCUUUAAAACCUUACAACUAGUCUACUGGAAUAACCUCAUAACUGUUUUGUUUUUCCCGUUUCCCCAGUUGUAAGUUUUCCCGUCUGGUUCUUAAAUUAUUUGUUCACAAAUUAAUCCUUCAAAAAUAAUACUUUGAUCAUUUUACUCCUCCACUCCAAAACCAUCACUGAUUUCCCAAUGCUAUUGUAAUCACUGUUCACAUUUGAUGAGGACUUUCAUGCCAGGCAUUGGGCUAAGUAACUUUCAAGCAUGUUAUCUUAUUUAAUAUCAACACAACUCUAUAAGGUAGCCUGAUUUUUAUGGAUGACAAAACAAGGUAGUGAGUGAUUUGCACAAUACUGCACUUUAUUAUUUAGUAGAAUGAGGAUUUCAAUCCAAACAGUAUCUUCUAGAACCCAUGCAUGAAACCAUUAAAAUGUACUGCUUCUCCAUAGGAAAUAACUUCUAGACUCUUUAGAAUUUGGUAUCUUCCACACUUGUCUACAAUUACAUAAAGCACAUUUUCUCAUAGAAAUAAUGCUACAUGUGUUAUAAAUUUAUCUCUUCAAGUCAAGCCAUAAACAUUCCUGUAAUAUAGAAGUGUUGCAGUGAGGUGAGGAAGUCCUCAAGCAAGAUACCUCCCACUGUCUAGAGCAGAUGCUCCAAUAGGUGGAGCUGAAAUAGGUGUGGCUUAAAAGAAGCUGCGUUGGCUUCCCAGUUUAAGAAGGCAUUCAGGUCCUUAAGUUACUUCCUUUCCCUCAUUUAAUCAGACAUGUCCUGUACCACAGAAUUAAUGUAUUUCCUAUUUCAGUGUCAUUCAUUAUUUGUUACCACAAUUCAGAUUUUUCUUCUCCCAGCCCUCAGGCCAACCAACUAUAUAUAUCGUGCCUGAUCUAGAGGUAGAAGACUCCCACCUCUCUCCACUGCCCUUAUAUUGGUUUUUCUCAACCAGUAUGGCUACUCAAGAAUUAUGUACUAAAGAAAAUAAUUUGAAUGAUUAUUUUCUCAAUUUGCUCAAAUUUGGUACAUAGCUAGAACAAUUCUAGAUGCACAGAAGAGGGGUUAAUUUAUUUAUUACAUGCAAUGAAUGCCUUAGGCACUUUAUUCCUUAAUAUUUCAAUAUGCAUUUCCUAUAAAUAAGGAUAUUUUAUUCUAUAACUACAAUAGUUAUCACAUUGAAGAAAUUCAACAUGGAUAAAAUAUUUUAACCUAAUCUACCAUUAUUAUUCAGAUUUGCCAAUUGUCCCAAUUUUUUUUUUUUUUUUCCCCUCCAAAAGAAUUCUUCCCUGGAUCAUGUACUCAUUUAGUUGUCAUGUAUCUAUUUAGUCUCUCUUUCAAUCUGGAACAGUUCCUCAGCCUUACUUGGCUUUCACUACCUUGACCUUUUUUUAAGGAUAUAGGCCAAUCUGAUUUUCUUUCUUUCUUUUUUUUUUUUUUUAAUAGCAUGUUUCUCAUUUUUGCCUUAUCUGAUGUGUACUCAGUUAAAUUCAGAUUAUGCAUCCCUGGUAGAAUACUACGUAAGUGAUAUUGUAGCCUUCUCAUAGGGACAUUAGUUUUGACCAUUCAGGCAAGGUGUUGUCGCCUUCCCUACUUGAUAGUUACUAUUUCCCCCCUGGCAACUAAUAAGUGAUCUGGAGGGAGACACUUUAAGACCAUGCAAAUAUCCUUCUCCUCAUCAAACUACCCCCCCAACACAAUCCCAGAUUUAGUAUCCACUGAUGAUUCUUAUCUAAUCAAUACUUAUAUAACGAUUGCAAAAUGAUUGUCUAAUUUCACCACUACUCACUCCAUAUUUAUUCAUCAGCAUUCUACUAUAUAGAAAAGCCAUCCUUUCCCUCCUAUUUGGUUGUUUUUCUAUUUAUCUAUUAUUAGUAUGGACUCUUGGCUUCCUAUUUUUUUAAUGGUUUAGAAUUCAUUACAGUUCUUAUUUUGAUGCUCAAAUAGUUCCAGAUUUGGUCAGUGGGAGACUCUUCAAGGUAGUUCCUGUGUUCUUCUGGCAUGCCCCCCAUCAUUUUUGUAGUACUUCCUUGCUUUCUGGUACAUUAAGAUAUUUCAGGCUCAUUUUAUACCUUCUCUGUCCCAGCCCUGGAGAUCAAUCAUUUCUCCAAGGGACCCUGGUUCUUUUUAGUGGGGAAUGAUAGUAGAAAACAAGAUAUGAGUACAAGGUAUACUCAUUGCUAUCAGAGUAACUUUGAGUCUUGACCUGUGCUAUCCAAUGCAGUAGCAACUACCCACAUGUGGCCAUUUAAGUUAAAGUUAAUAAAAAUAAAAUAAAUUAAAAAUUCAGGUCCUUAGUUGCACUAGCCACAUUUCAUCUGUUCAGUAGCUACAAGUGGUUAACAAACCAGUUGCCAUGGAAUUGAUUCUGACUCCUGGCAACCCUAGGUGUGGACAGUAGUUACCAUAUUGGACAGCAUAGAUACAGAACAUUUCUGUCAUUACAGAAAGUUCUAUUGAACUUUACUAUUCUAGACCCUUUUAGUGAGCAAAGCUAGGGAACAUACAUACACAUUCAUGAAAUCACAAGUUCUCACUCUUCAUUACCUUUAAAAUAUCUUCUUAAAUUCACUCUUUCAAAUAUUAAACAAUUGUUUACUGAACACAUUAUUACUGGACAGGUACUGUUCAAGAUCCUGGACAUUCAGAAAUAAAUAUAUUGUCCCUGUUCUCUAAAAACUUACAAUUUAGUGAGAAGACAGAAAAGUAAAUGGAUUACUACAUAUAGACUGGUAUGAUGAAUUCCAACAAACUGAGGUUAACACAGGGUGCUAUAACAAUAUACGCCCCAGACUGGGGAUGUCAAGGAACUCUUCCUGGGAAAUAACAUUUAAAUUAAGAUUAGAAAGGUAAAUAGUUAUUAGUCUGGAAAUUUGGAGGACAAACUGUGGGGUGGAGAGGAAUUUGCUAUCCUCCAAUAUUUUUUUCAUCUCUUCCCAUUCAGUCCCUGGAGGACAUUAUGCUUGGUAAAGUGGAGGGUCAGAGAAAAAGAGGAAGACCCUCAAAAAGAUGCACUGAAAAUGGCUACAACAAUGGGCUCAAGCAUAAAAGCAAUUGUGAGGAUGGCACGGGAGCUGGCAGUGUUUUGUUCUGUUGUACACAGGGUUGCUAAGCGUCAGAACCAACUCAAUGGAACCUAACAACAACAACAUUCCAAUUCACUUAAAUGCUUUCUUUCUCUCCCCCAUAAACUUUCAAAAUUCUGCUUAUCUUCCAAAGCCCAUUUUUUAUGAUGUAUUUCUUAAUACCUUUAACUAGACAAGACCCUGCCAAACCUCUGAAUGUACUGUAUUUACUGAUUUCACAUACACCAAAGAUUUGUUGGUUUUGUUGUUAUCAGUGUAGUGGGUAAGAACAUGGGCUCGAAGUCAGACUUACUGCUUACUAAUUGUGUGACUCUGGGCAAGCUACUUAAUCCCUCUAAACCUCAAUUUUCAUAUCUGAAGAUGGAAUUAAUUAAAUUUCAUGGUUAAAUGGGAAUCAAAGAAAAUGUACUGAAAAUGCUUAUCAUGAUGACUAGAAUACCACAGAUAAUAAGGAAUACUUGAGAAUUACUAAACAACAAGGCCGCCAGUCUAUGAAGCCAGCCACCAGCUGCCAUCAAGUCGGUUCUGACCCACAGGGACCCCAUGGGUAUCAGGUGGACUGUGCUCCAUCGGGUUUUCAGUGGCUGGUUUUUCAGAAGUGGAUCACCAGGACUUUCUUCCGAGAUGCCUCUGGCUGGACUUGAACUUCCAACCUUUUGGUUAGCACCCUAGUGUGUUGAUCAUUUGCACAACCCAGAGAUUCCACUGGUCUAUUAUUAACAAUAAUAUUUCAACUUGUUUCUUCCUUUGUUUGCUGAAAAUUUUAAAACUGUUCGUACCUUUCCAGGCCAAUCUUUACAUUAUCAAGGCAUAUAUUAUAUUUUAGUAACAACUAGCAAACCACCUAAAUUAUUCAAGCAGAUUUCUUCCAGUAAGAAUAUUAUGUUAUAAAAAAAAAAAAAUAUAUGUAAAAUGUGUUAAACAGAUAAUUCUACUUAUGACUAUGAAAUGACAAAAUCACAUUUCAAAAACGUCAUUUACCUAUUGCUUGCAACAACUUUAAAUAAAAAUCAUCUUUUCCCAUUAGGCUGACAUGUAAAAUAAUUUUUUUAAUUCUAAACUAAAAUUUUUUUUAGAGUAUUUUCAAGUUGGGGAAAUCAUAUUAAUAAUGUCUGAACUACUAAAUGGUAAAAAUUAGUCUAUCAAUAAAAACUAAUUUGCCAGAAUUCACAUUUCUAAUUGGAUGCUGAUAAAACUUAAAAUUGGUUCCUAAUGAAACAAAGCAUCUUGAUUUUCAUAUAAAUUUAUUUGAAACGGUUAAUGUACUAAUAGUUAGAAACAAUCAGUAUUAAAUGACAGCAUCAAGGACAAUUUCUUUCCCUUAAUAUGCUAUUAAGAAAUCUAAAAGAAGUUUUAAAAAGUAUGUCUUACAGCAGGAACUAGACAACUUAUUUUGUACUUCAUCACAGCUUCAGAUUUUUUCGGAAAGAUGUACACCCAACAUUUGUUUACGAAUGAAAAAUGUUUUCAAAAUGAAUGCUUUUAAUGAAGUGCAUUUUAUUUGUUUAAAGUAUAAGCAUGAACACUUAAAAUUGUAUUGCUUAUGUUCUAGAAGAAGGAAAAAAAAGGAGCACUUACCAGGAUUAACAAAUACCAAACCUAAAAGGGAGAUCAAUGACAUUUCCUCCAAAAUAACUGACAGCUGUGCAGAUUUUGUUUACCUGAUCAAAUAUUCACAAGACAAAUAUAUGAUAGCCAGUGUACCUCAUGCACAGCCAUGACUCAUCUGUCAGCGGAGGCUUGCGUGUUGCUACGUGGUGAACAGGUUUCAGUGGAGCUUACAGAUUAAGAUGGACUAGAAGAAAGACCUAUCUACUUCCAAAAAUCAGCCAACGAAAACCAUAUGAAGUACAAGGGUCUGAUCCAUAACCCAUCUCAGGACCGGGCAGCAUUCUGUUCUGUUGUGUAGGGGGCUGCCAUGAGCAGAUGGCAGCUAGCAACAACAGCAGUUACUAAAGAAGCCUCAGCACCCCCCUCUCCGUAAGAGGCUUAUCCCUGAAGAAGGUGAGCCAUCACCUCCCUUUUGAAUGAAAAGAUACAACUUUUGAAUUGGCUAGAGGAUCAACAGACUGGUUUAAAGGGAAAGGAAACCAUUUUAGAUGAACAUACCAUAAAAUCCACUGGAAUACAUCUGUCUACUGGGCGAGCUUGCUUCAUUCUCUAAUGUAAAUUCUAAGGGAAGAAAGCUCAAAAACAUGGAGAAAAAAACAGAUAAAAAGAACAUACACAUAUGGCUGUCAUGAAAUUGGAAGAAACAUCUCGUUUGGUACAGGCAGUCCCCGGGUUACAAACAACAUCCAUUCCUGUGUCUUUAAGAACUUGUAGGUUUACUUUACUGAUGCCUUUAAGUUAUGGUAUUGGUGAAGAAUACUGAAUAUACCAUGAACUGCCAGAAGAACAAACAAAUCCGUCUUGGAGGAAAUACAGCCAGAAUGCUCCUUAGAAGCAAGGAUAGGGAGACUUUGCCUCAGGUACUUUGGACAUGCCAUCAAGAAGGGUAAAGGGUUAGUGAAAAAAGAGAAAGACCCUCAACAAGAUGGACUGGCAGAGUGGUUCCAACACUGGGCUCAAACAUAGCAACAAUUGUGAAGAUUGUACAAGAUUAGACAGUGUUUCAUGUGGUCAUACAUAGAGUCACUAUGAUUGAAACUGACUUGAUGGCCGCUAACCACAACAACCGUAUUAUUGCUGAUGUUACACAGCCUCCUCCUCUGUGCAUAUAUCUGUAGCCAUGUGGCUAAAUUUGGGCCCAUGGAGUUAUGAGUCAAAGUAGUAUAACUUCCAAGUCAUCUAUAACUUAAAAACAAAUGCCCCUGAAUUUCUGGUAUCACUUCCCAAGGGCUGGAAUGUGGACAAGAUUAUGAUCAACAGUGCAGCCAAGAAACACAUCCUAGGGGACAGCAAAGCAGCAAGAUGGAAGGAACCUGAGUCCCUGAAUGACCCUAUAAAAUUAAGCUGCCCACCAGCCUUUACCUGCCCUCUCAAUUCUGAAAUGUUAUGUACAAAAGAAAGUAUAUUUUUAAAGCCACUAUUUUUUUUAGUUUCUUUUUUACAGUGGCUUAUCCUGUAACCUAAUUUUACAGGUAGAACACACACACACAAAAAAUACAUGUAAGCACAUGUAUUCAUGAAAUCUGGCAGCGAAUGUAAGUAAUUAUCGGUUUUAAAAAAAAGUAACUAGAUUGGAGUAGAUAUAUUCAAUGAAUUGUUAAAUGGUACUGAGAUCCCUGUUUUAAGUUAAAAAAAAAAGUAUAAAAACAUUGAGUACCUUUACUCAUUAUUAGAACAAUUUGUAGUUAAGUAUGUUAAAAAUUAGGAGUAAUCACUGAAAGAACAGAGAUGUAAUGUAGAGCUUCCAAGCUAGCAGAAAGGAGAAAGGACUGAAACAAACUCCACCAAAUAUACAAAUGAGAGGUGAAAAAUAAGAAGCAAAUACAAAGGCAUGAGAAAUAAGGGCAACUGUGAAAAACAGAAACUAAUCAAAGUAGAUUUUUUUAAAUCUAGUUAUAUGUAGCUUAUAAGAGAAACACCUCAAAUAAAACCAACCAGAAAGACUAAAGGGCCAGCCAAAAUAUAUACUAGUUAAAUACUAACCAAUAGAGAAAGUUUUAUUAAUAUCAUAAGAAUAGAAUUUAAAAGAAAAAUAUUUUAAAAGGAUAAAAGUCCACUGCAUAAUAAUAAAAAGAACAAUUCACAAAGAAAUAACAAUACAUGUUUACCGAACAGCAUUACUUCAAAAUGUAAGAAACAAAAAAAUAACAGGAGAAACUGAAAAAUCCACAAUGAUGGGAGAAACUUUAACAAACUUGUAUCAAAAAUUGACAGAUCAUACCAAUGUUCAUUUCACAGUAGCCAAAAGGUGGGAAUAACCUAAAUGUCCAUCAACAGGUAAAAGGAUAAACAAAAUGUGCCGUAUAUACACAUUGGAGGAUAACUCUGCCCUGAAAGGAGAGGAAGCCCUGAUCAUGCUACAACACGGAUAAACCUUGAAAACAUGCUGAGUGAAUUAAGUCAGUCACAAAAGGACAAAUACUGCAUGAUCCCACUUGUAGGCAAAUGUAUAGACACCAAAGUUUAUUAAUGGCUACCAGGAGUGGCAGGGAGAGGGAAAAAGGUAGUCACUGCCUAGGAGGCACUGGGUUUCUGUUAAUGGUGGUGGAAUAAUUUGGAAAAGGAUAGUGGUGAUGCUUGUAUAACAUGAUGACCAUAAUCAAUGUCACUGAAUUACAGAUGUAAAAAUUGGGGUAUUGGCAAAAGUUUGUUACAUAUAUUUUCACAAUAAAAAAAUUCACGAGUUACAAUAUGUAAAGAUACAGCAGAUAUAUACAAAAUAAGUAAGUUUAACCUAAUAUUUAGAGAAUUCUGUAAUCAACAAAUGAGGAAUAUAUAUAUUUUGUGGUAUAUAUUGAGCAUUUACAAAAUAUUUUUUAGUAGGUCACAAAGAAUGCCAGUCAGUUCACAGGCUACAAUACGCUUACCAUAUUUUUAUGCAAAUAAUGUGUGUGUUGUAUGAGUUUUUUGCCAACCAAGCAACCCCCUCGCACAGUAUUUUCCUAGGCACACUAAGCACGUUAUAUGUGUAGAUGCAUUAUUUAUGUUGGCUCGUUAUUUGUGAAAAAAUACAGUAAAUGAUAAAUUACUGUUUAAAAAAAUUUCAUGAGUUUAAAAACAUUAAAAUGUACAACUCAAUAACCCUAGGAUUAAAAAGGCAACAACACUGAAAAUAACAAAAUAUUUAGACGUGAACAGCAGUGAAAGAAUUAAGUAUGUGGUAUGCACUCUAAGUGAUACCUGAGUAGAAAUUGGGAAUGAGUUAUAAGAUCAAGUCAAGAAGCUAAAAUAUCACCAUCAACAACAGUAAUAAUACAGUAAACCCAAUGUAAAUGAAGCAAAAAAAAAAAAAAAACAUGGAAAACCAAGAGAUAAAGGAAUAGCAAUAACACCAAACUUUAGGAUGAAAAGGCUUAUAGUAAGAAAGACAAAAUGUUUGAAAAUUUUUUCAAAAGUAAUAUAGGGGAACUUUUCUAUUAAAAAGUAAGACUUACUAUAAAGCUGUGUAAUUGGGAUGGAUAUAUAAAUAAAACAAGUCCAGUAAAAGACCCAUAUAUAUAUAUAUAGGAACUGAAUAUGAGACAAAAGUAAUAUUACAAACCCAAAAUUUAAAAGAUUUCCUACACACACAUACCGAAUGACCCAAUAAAGGAGUAUGAAAUAGGUUAAUUGCUAGACCAAAAACAAAAAUACCUGAAUGUCAGUAACACUAAGGACCAAUCUCACUAAAUGCAGGAAUAAGUAAAUUAAGACAGUAGUAACAUAACAUUUCACACUCAUUAAACUGGAAAAAUUAAGCAGUAAUGAAAUAUAACAUGUUAUCAUGGAUGUAGAGAAACAGAAGCUUUCACACACUGCCAAAGGGCAUGCUGAUAUUCAGUCACAUCAGAGAAUACUGAAAAGCUGAAGACAGCUAUGCCUAAGAUCCAGUAAUUCAACUUUUAAGUAUAUACCCACAAGACUCUUCCUACAGGUGUACAAGGAGAUACAAGUUACUAGCAUAAAAACUGAAACAACAUACAUGUCUAUCAGUAGAAAACAGGAGAACAGAUAAACAUACCAUUAUAUUCAUAUAAUAUCCAUUCUAUUCAUACAGUGUAAUAACUUACAGGAAAUAUAAAACUAAAUAAUAUGAACAAAAUCAAGCAAGUUACAAAAGAAUUUAAACAAAUAUUAUUUAUAUGAACUUUAAAUGUAAAUAAAAAUGUUACUUAUAGGCAAAGCUGUAUACCUAUGUGGUAAAAGUAUAAAAAUACUGAAUCAGAAUAAUCAUUCCAUUUAUUUACUUUACAAUCUGUAUUUAAUGAUUAAUUAAGGGGAGGAGAAAGGGAUCAGGAAGGAGUUCACAGGUGCUUUCGCUGUACAAGUAAUGCUUUAUUGCUCUAAAAACUAAACCCAAACCAGUAAAAAUUUAAUAUUUGAUAAAUUUCAGGAUGAGUACACUGAAGUAACACUAACAAUGUGCAACACGUAGAUAACACAACUAUGCUUGCUGAAGGUGAAGAGGACUUGAAACACCUACUGAUAAAGAUCAAAGGCUACAGCCUUCAUUACGGAUUACACCUCAACAUAAAGAAAACAAAAAUCCUCACAAAUGGACCAAUAAGCAACAUCAUGACAAACGGAGAAAAGACUGAGGUUGUCAAGGAUUUCAUUUUACUUGGAUCCAAAAAUCAGCACCCAUGGGAGCAGGAGUUAGGAAAUCAAAGGACGUAUUGCCUUGGGCAAAUCUGCUGCAAAAGAUCUCUUUAAAGGUUAAAAAGCAAAGAUGUCACUUUGAGGACUAAAGCACGCCUGGCCCAAGCCAUGGUAUUUUCAAUUGCCUCGUUGUUGUUGUUAGGCGCCACCUAGUUGGUUCCAACUGAUACUGACCCUAUGUAUCACAGCAGGAAACAAUGCCCAGUCCUGCACCAUCCUCAUAAUUUCUGUUAUGCUUGAGCCCAUUGUUGCAGCCACUGUGUCAGUCCAUCUCACUGAGAGUCUUCCUCUUUUUCAUUGACUCUCCACUUUACCAAGCAUGAUGUCCUUCUCGAGGGACUGGUCCUUCCUGAUAACAUGUCAAAAAUAUGUGAGAAGAGUUCUGCCAUCCUCACUUCUAAGGAGCGUGCUGGCUGUACUUCUUUCCAACACAGAUUUGUUUGUUCUUCUGGCAGUCCAUAGUAUACUCAAUAUUCUUCACAAACACCAUAAUUCACAGCCAUCAGUUCUUCUUCAGUCUCCUUUAAUCACCUCAUAGGCAUGCAAAAGCUGGGCAAUGAAUAAGGAAGACUCGUCCCUGGAGAAUGACAACAUGCCUGAUAAAGUAAAGGGUCUGCAAAAAGGAAGAUCCUCAACAAGAUGGACUGAUACAGUGACUUAACAACAGGAUCAAACAUACCAACGAUUGUGAGGAUGGCACAGAACCAGGCAGUGUCUCACUCUGUUGUACACAGAGUUGCUAUGAGACGGAACCUACUGGUGGCACCUAACAAUAACAACAACACACAGGUGUUUGUUAUAUUGCUUUCUAUAAUUUUUAUUUGUUUGCAAUUUUUCUUAAAGCAAAACAAACAAAAAGCCCUAAGAAGAUUCCAAUGAGAUACACUCAGAAUUUCUCCCAUAUCUUAAAAUAAAUGUCAACAAAGUAAAGGUUUAAAACAUGUAUAUCAUUUUUAUUAGCUAUAGUCCAACAAAGAAGUUCUGAAUUGCUUAAAAAGUAUGAUAAGAUGAUCUUGGUUAAUAUAAAGGUAUUAUAAAGAUAGCUUCAACUUACACGAAAUGUCAAAAAUCUUAACAUACAUUAGUUGCCUUUUUAUAAAGUCUUCUAACAAUUAUUUUGUAUGGAGAAAUGAGGAGAAACAAAAACAGUAAUAAUUGAAAAAAAAAAAAAAGAACACAGACAAUACCUUGGAGGCACGAAUCUGCCUGUGAACAUCCGUUAGCUGUUGGAUUUUGUAUUCUAGCUCUGAAAUCUGGGCUUGAAGCCAUGUCCAUCGGCUGCCAACUCUUGCUCUGUCUACAAGCCACUUCCAUUCAGUACUACAGUUACUGUGAAAAAGACAAACACUGUUAGUCAAAGCAUAAAGGCAAUCAAGUUUUCACAGAGACUGCUUUAAUAACUUCCUUGACUGCUGUCAUACAACUGCAAUUUCCUUUACAAAAUAUUUAAUUACAUUAAGGGAGAAUGGCACAUCAAUGUCUUAUAUAAAAAAAAAAAUUUCAUUGCCUUACCUUUCCACCCUACAAACACCUGUUUUAUUCAGUAUUAAGUAUUCAGUCUUCCUGGCUAACUGACUGGAAGAGAUCCAUAUUUAUCCCUAUUCCCAAGAAAGGUGAUCCAACCGAAUGUGGAAAUUAUGGAACAAUAUCAUUAAUAUCGCACGCAAGCAAAAUUUUGCUGAAGAUCAUUCAAAAGCAGCUGCCAGAAAUUCAGGCUGGUUUCAGAAGAGGACGUGGAACCAGGGAUAUCAUUGCUGAUGUCAGAUGGAUCCUGGCUGAAAGCAGAGAAUACCAGAAGGAUGUUUACCUGUAUUUUAUUGACUAAGCAAAGGCAUUCGACUGUGUAGAUCAUAACAAACUAUGGAUAACAUUGCAAAGAAUGGGAAUUCCAGAACACUUAAUUGUGCUCAUGAGGAACCUUUACAUAGAUCAAGAGGCGGUUGUUCAGACAGAACGAGGGGAUACUGAUUGGUUUAAGGUUAGGAAAGGAGUGCGUCAGGGUUGUAUUCUUUCACCAUACCCAUUCAAUCUGUAUGCUGAGCAAAUAAUCUGAGAAGCUGGACUAUAUGAAGAACGGGGCAUCAGCAUUGGAGGAAGACUCAUUAACAACUUACGUUAUGCAGACAACACAACCUUGCUUGCUGAAAGCGAAGAGGACUUGAAGCACUUACUAAUGAAGAUCAAAGACCACAGCCUUCAGUUUGGAUUGCACCUCAACAUAAGGAAAACAAAAAUCCUCACAACUGGACCAAUGAGCAACAUCAUAAUAAACAGAGAAAAGACUGAAGUUGUGAAGGAUUUCAUGUUAUUUGGAUCCACAAUCAACAGCCAUGGAAUAAGCAGUCAAGAAAUCAAAAGACGAUUGCACUGGGUAACUCUGCUGCAAAGGACCUCUUUAAAGUUUUGAAAAGCAAAGAUGUCACCUUGAAGACUAACGUGUACCUGACCCAAGCCAUGGUAUUUUCAAUCACAUCAUACGCAUGUGAAAGCUGGACAAUGAAUAAGGAAGACCUAAGAAGAGUUGGCGCCUUUGAGUUGUGGUGCUGGCGAAGAAUAUUGAAUAUUCCAUGGACUGCCAAAAGAACAACAAAUCUGUCUUGGAAGAAGUACAACGAGAAUGCUCCUUAGAAGCAAGGAUGGCGAGACUGCAUCUUACAUACUUUGGACAUGUUGUCAGGAGGGAUCAGUCCCUGGAGAAGGACAUCAUGCUUGGCAGAGUACAGGGUCAGCAGAAGAGGAAGACCCUCAACGAGGUGGAUUGACACAGUGGCUGCAACAAUGAGCUCAAGCAUAGCAACGUUUUUAAGGAUGGCUCAGGACACAGCAGUGUUUCGUUCUGUUGUGCACAGGGUCGCUAUGAGUCGGAACCGACUCGACGGCACCUAACAACAAGUAUUCAGUAGUAGGAUAAUCUUCUCUGCUACUUAAUACUUUAUUAAUGCUGAAGGGCUGAAAGGGAAGUGGGGCAGCAAUGGAAAGGAACCAGGAAUGGCAAUACGAGCACCCUGUAAAAACUGUUACAUGAGGCUUUUAUAUAUAAGUAGAUGGCAAGUAUUAGACAAGUGAUUUCAGCGGUGCUAGAUCUAAAUCCAUGUAACUGUCAUGUAUCAAAUUUUACUGUAAUUUUCAUUUGCUAAAACAGGCAUCACUGUUAACUAAAUACUUAAAAUCAAUUUAAAGAAACUGUCAGAAAUUAUCAAAAAUAUGAAUGCUCUGUAUUAUGGAUUGAAUUGUAUCCCCCAAAAAUGUGUGUCAACUUGGCUAGGCCAUGAUUCCCAGUAUAGUGGUGAUUGCCCACCAUUUUGUCAUCUGAUGUGAUUUUCCCAUGUGUUGUAAAUCCUUCCUUUAUGAAGUUAGUGAGGUAGAAUUAAAGGCAGUAAUGUUAAUGAGGCAUGACUCAAGCUACAAGAUUAGGCUGUACCUUGAGUCGAUCUCUUUUGAAAUAUAAAAGAGAGAAGCAACCAGAGAGGGAUCUUCUACCACCAAGAAUGAAGAACCACCCAAGGGAAGACUGAUGACAAGGACCUUCCCCAGAGCUGCCAGAGAGAGAAAGCCUUCCCCUGAAGCCGGUACCCUGAAUUCGGACCUCUAGCUUCCUAGACUGUGAGAGAAUAAGCUUCUGUUUGUUAAAGCCAUCCACUUGUGAUAUUUCUGUUAUAGCAGCAUUAGAUAACUAAGAUGCUCUGCUACACUACAUUUCAAAUAAGUAUAUCAAAUAUAGAGGUCUUGAGAUGUUUGUUAAGAUAAACAGCUUGUUAGAAACCUGAUUCCCAGCCUACCUACCUACCCAUUGCCAUCAAGUCGAGUCCAACUCAUACCGACCCUAUAGGACAGAGUAAAACUACCCCAUAGAGUUUCCAAGGAGUGCCUGGUAGAUUCGAACUGCUGACCUUUUGGUUAGCAGCCACAGCAGCUCUUAACUGCUAUGCCACCAGGGUUUCCAGUUAACAGCCUAGAGAUGUUAAAUAACUUAUAAAAAGCCUUUCUUUCCCACUAUUAUAAGAUCUUGAGAAAUAGUAAAAACUGAGAAGACCACAUACUUUUGUGGUUACGAGGGGGGGAAGGAGGGAGGGAGAGGGUUUUUUACUGAUUAAUUAGUAGAUAAGAACUGCUUUAGGUGAAGGGAAAGACAACACUCAAUACAUGGAAGGUCAGCUCAAUUAGACUGGACCAAAAGCAAAGAAGUUUCUGGGAUAAAAUGAAUGCUUCAAAGGCCAGCGGAGCAAGGGCGGGGGUUUGGGGACCAUGGUUUAAGGGGACUUCUAAGUCAAUUGGCAAAAUAAUUCUAUUAUGAAAACAUUCUGCAUUCCGCUUUGAAAUGCGGCGUCUGGGGUCUUAAAUGCUAACAAGCGGCCAUCUAAAUCUAAGAUGCAUCAAUUGGUCUCAACCCACCUGGAGCAAAGGAGAAUGAAGAACACCAAGGUCACACGACAACUAAGAGCCCAAGAGACAGAGAGGGCCACAUGAACUAGAGACCUAUAUCAUCCUGAGACCAGAAGAACUAGUUGGUGCCUGGCCACAAUCGAUGACUGCCCUGACAGGGAGCACAACAGAGAACCCCUGAGGCAGCAGGAGAUCAGUGGGAUGCAGACCCCAAAUUCUCAUAAAAAGACCAUACUUAAUGGUCUGACUGAGACUAGAGGAAUCCCGGCGGCCAUGGUCCCCAGACCUUCUGUUGGCACAAGACAGGAACCAUCCCUGAAGACAACUCAUCAGACAUGAAAGGAACUGGACAGUGGGUGGGAGAGAGAUGCUGAUGAAGAGUGAGCUAAUUAUAUCAGGUGGACACUUGAGAUUGUGUUGGCAUCUCAUGUCUGGAGGGGGGAUGGGAGGAUAGAGAGAGUGGGAAGCUGGCAAAAUUGUCACAAAAGGAGAGACUGGAAGGGCUGACUCAUUAGGGGGAGAGCAAGUGGGAGUACGGAGUAAGAUGUAUGUAAACUUAUAUGUGACAGACUGACUUGAUUUGUAAACAUUCACUUGAACCUCAAUAAAAGUUAAUUAAAAAAAAAAGCCUUUCUUUCAUGAAUAUUUGAAAAUGAGGGUUGAACCCUAGUUCCUCUUAGCUCUGUAUCUUAUGGCAAUGCCAUUGCUCUAAUCCAGUUUGCGAAAUUAUGAAAAUAUUGCAAUCAUGCCGCUAGAAAAAAUUAAUUGGUAUUAUGGUUUGUGUAUGUGUUUGGAAUAAUUAAUUAUAAAAUACAGAUUGUAAAGUAAAUAAAAACAUGACAGAAAUGGAAGGCAUAACUGAAGAGCAAUAACUACCUAAUGGCAAAAAAAAAUGGUUUAAAAUCAAAAAAGGUAUAUGCAUCAGGGUUGUAGCCUUUAAUUAAUACAACUUCAAAAAAAAAAAAAACUUGCCUCAAAAAUGCAUUUAAUAUAACGGAAUGGCUUUCAUAUAGUCAGCCAGAGAAAACCUAUACUCUAUGAGAUCAUUUGCUGUCAGAAAAGCAGAACACAAUUUUUAGAACUUUGCUGUAGAAUCUGUCCAUUACAACAAGAUUUUACAUCCUAUCCGUGCUCCCAAAAGCUAUUUUGUCAAAAGAUUAUAAUGGCACACAAUAUGAUUAAGGAGACCUUCAUAUAAAUUAGAUUUUUUUCUUAUUAUUUAGCUUAUAGUCAUUAUUGUGAGUUUGUGAAUGACAUUCUUUUAAAUCAUAUUUUCAUAACUACGGACAAAAUAAAGAGAAUGUCUAAUCAAAAUAUUCUAUUCAAAGACAAUGUUUAGUAAUACUAAAUGCCAAUCGUGUGAUCAGAAAGGAAAGUAAGCGUUACAUCACGCAGCAUGUUGCACUGUGAGGGUCAAGUCCUUGGACUUUUUUAGAAGUGGAAGCUAUUUCCAAAAUAGGGACAAAAAUUAUUUUCUAAUCACUCUGGCUGCUAGGUGGAGAAAGCAUUGUAGUAGGGUACAAGAGGAAAUAAGGGAACCAAUCAGGAUGCACCUGUAAUAAUCCAAUAACAGUGAUCUCCAAAUAUUCAUGUGCUACCCUACAUUUCUGAGCCUUCUUUGCACAGAGGUCGGAGCACGGUACUAGUUCUGACCAAUGGGCUAUCGACAAAAGUGACAUUGUCAUUUUUCUUCCAUCUGAUAACCUUCAAAGCCACUAGUCCAGAUAGUGUAUCUACCCGAUAGAGAACAGCCCAGAACAUAUCGGAAUUUAUAUAAGCCACAGUAAACCUUUGCUGUGUUAAACCACUGAGAUUUGGAGGUUAUUCAUUACUAUAAAUACAGCCUAACCUGACUAAUACACAGAACAAAAGAUGACAAUGGCUUGGACUAGGGAAGAAGGGGAUAAAGAAGAGAUGGAAAUAAGAAGCUGGAUACAAGAUUUAUUUUACAGUUGAUAAGACUUGUAGAAGGUGGUAAGCACUGGGAGGUCAAAGGUGAUCUUUAACAUUGUUUCACUCAGUUUUGCUCCAGUUAGAAAAUUUCUCCAUAACAGGCAAUUUGGCAAAAUUUUCACAAGUAAAAUUUUGCUGAAGAUAAUUCAAAAAUGGUUGCAGCAGUACAUUGACAGGGAACUUCCAGAAAUUCAAGCCAGAUUCAGAAGAGAACGUGGAAUAAGGGAUAUCAUUGCUGAUAUCAGAUAGAUCUUGGCUGAAAGCAGAGAAUACCAGAAAGAUGUUUACCUGUGUUUUAUUGACUAUAUAAAGGCAUUUGGCUGUGUAGGUCAUAACACAUAACAGAUAACAUUGCAAAGAACAGGAAUUCCAGGACACUAAAUUGUGCUCAUGCAGAACCUGUACAAAGACCAAGAGGCAGUCGUACGAAAAGAACAAGGGAAUACUGCAUGGUUUAAAAUCAAAAAAGGUAUAUGCAUCAGGGUUAUAUCCUUUCACCAUACUUACUCAAUCAGUAUGGUGAGCAAAUAAUCCAAGAAGCUGUACUACAUGAAGAAUGUGGCAUUAGGAUUAGAGGAAGACUCAUGAAUAACCUGUAAUAAGCAGAUAACACAACCUUGCUUGCUGAAAGUGAAGAGGACUUGAAGCACUUACUGAUGAAGAUCAAAAACUACAGCCUUCGGUAUGGAUUACACCUCAACACAAAGAAAACAAAAAUCCUCACAGUUGGACCAAUAAGCAACAUCAUGAUAAACAGACGAAAGAUUCAAGUUGUCAAAGAUUUCAUUUUACUUGGAUCUACAAUCAACACUCACGGAAGCAGCAGUCAAGAAAUCACAAGACAUAUUGCAUUGAGCAACUCUGUUGCAAAUGACCUCUUUAAAAUAUUAAAAAGCAAGGAUGUCACUUUGAGGACUAAGGUGCAUGUGACUCAAGGCAUGAUGUUUUCAAUCACCUCAUACACAUGUGAAAGCUGGACAAUGAAUAAGGAAGACUAAAGAAUUAUUGCUACCUUUCAAUUAUGGCUGUGGCGAAGAAUAUUGAACAUACCACGGAGUGCCAGAAGAACAAACAAAUCUGUCUUGGAAGAAGUACAGCCAGAAUGCUCCUUAGGAGCGAGUAUGUUGAGACUUCGUUUCACAUACUUGGGACAUGUUAUCUGGAGGGACCAGUCUCUGGAAAAGGACAUCAUACUUGGUGCAGUGGGGAGGCAGAGAAAGAGAGGAAAACCCUUGACAAGAUGGAUUGACAAAGUGCCUGCAAUCACAGGCUGAAACAUGGCCAACAACUGUGAGGGUGGUGCAGGACCAGGCAGUGUUUCAUGCUGUUGUACACAGGGUCGAUAUGAGUCAGAACCAACUCCCCAGCACCUAACAAUAACAAAUCAAACUGAUGAUUCACUAACGACCACAUACAGUAGAGAUAAAAAGAAAAUUUUAAUGGAGUUCAUACUAUUGUACUUCUAGUAAAAAAAACAGUGAUACUGAAAUUAGCAUUUCAAAAAUCAUUCUUACGGUCACACAUUAAAUAAUGCUAACUUAGAAAAACAGGAGUAUCAUUUUAAAUUUAAGUAUAUUAAAUAAUGCUGGAGGUUUUUGAUGUGUUAAAUAAAUUUUCCAUAAAGGAUACUUAAUCCUAAAUUUUAAUAGAAGUGAAUAAAAUCCAUUUGCUAUGAUUAAAAGUGGCAAACAAGCUUUCUCACCAAAACUGUUCCCUUGCUGGGAAACGAUAUUUUUCUCAAAAAUAAUUAAGAUUGAAAACAUGUCUAUCUUGCUCAAAGGAGAUUAACACCUGUUGUACCCCAAAGUCAAAAUAUGUUUUAUGUAGCAACUUAUGUAACCAAUGAUGUAAUAAUGGCUUAUGUAACUUAAGAGUGUAACCAAUCAGAGCAUAGCUGAUGUAACAGCAAACCACAAGAAUGUGAGUCAUAUCCAGUGUUGUCCAAGCUCCCUACUUAGCAUAUAGGCCUGGCAUGUAUGACCACUAAGAACACUGAUGCCCUGAUCUCAGGAGUGUGCUGAGCUGAGCACAAACCACUGUAUGCCGACCAUAAGGCGGGGCUCCUAUCUCUGGUGAAGAGCAGAACAAAGAAAUCUGUGAGUGGAGCUCACUAAAUGUAAAGAGUGGAAAUAAGCAGCAGCCUAGAGUGAGAGAGACAAGCUCCAGAAAGGUAAUAUAUGCCAUCCACAAUUGCUUGCUUAUAGUUACCACUUAAAUUGAUGAAGGAAAUAAGUACAAGCUGCUUAAACUAAGUGGUUUUGACUGCAAUUUCUUCCUGUUUUUUGUUUUUUUUUUUAAUCUACUCAUCAACAUCACAAGCCUAGGUCAUUGUUUUGACCUUGAAGUGUAAUUCCUCAGAAUAAGACAUAGCUUUCUAAUAUUGGGAAACCUGGUGGCCUAGUGGUUAAGCACUACUGUUGUUAACCAAAAGGUCAGCAGUUCGAAUCCACAAGGCGCUCUCUGGAAACUGUGGGGCAGUUCGACUCGACGGCAAUGGGUUUGGUUUUUUUCACAUUGUUGUUCCAAUAGUACGUCAGUUACCAAGACUCCAAAAGUGAUUGCAUAAAAACUAGUUUUGCCUUUAACUUAAAGAUUUUCUUAGCUUAUUAAUAAUAUAAAUGAACUACAGCAGACAGAAAAUCAAAAUAGAGGACCUGGUUGAGAAAAAUUACAAUCCGAAGAAAAAUAAGGUUUGUCCUACAUUAAAUUAGGCCAACCCUCCCCACUGGUGUUUGCUCACCUACAAAGAGCUUAUCCCUCCCUGGAAUUUGGUUCCUUUAGACUAGGGGUCAGCAAACAUUUUCUGUAAAGGGGCAGACAGUACAUACUUUAGGCAUUGUGAGUCACACAGUCUCUGUGACAACUACUCAACUUGUCAUUCCAGCCUGAAAGCAGCCAUAGAUGAUACAUAAACGAAUGGGUGUGGCUGUGUCGCAACAAAACUUUACUUACAAGAAUAGGCAGUGGGUUAUAUUUGGCCCAUGGGCCAUAGUUUUCCAGCCACUGAUGUAAAGCACCUUUUCAUAUGCUUUCCACGCUUCCCAAGUGCUUCUCACUUCCUUUUGUGAAGCGUCUGUUCAAAUUUUUGCCCACAAGUCUGUAGCUUGCCUUUUCAUUUUCCUAGCAGUAUCUUUUGAACAGCAGAAGUACCUAAUUUUGAUGAAGCCCAAUUUAUCCAAUUUUCAUUUUAUGGUUGGUUCUUUUUGUGUCCUAAUAAAUCUUUGCCUAACACAAAGUUAUAAAGAUUUUCUCAUGUUUCCUCAAGAAGUUUUCAAGUUUUAACCGAUUUAGAUCUACGACCCAAUUCAAGUUAACUUUUGUAGGUGGUAUGACGUGAGGAUCCAAAUUCAUUUUUUUCUAUCCAGGUGUUCCAGCACUAUUAGUUGAAAAAGCUCUAUUGUCCUGUAAUAGGUAGACCUAUCUAUUAUCUUUUAAUAGAUAAAGACUACCCUUUGAUAGAUAAAAGACUACCUAUGAAUACUGUACUUAGUACACACACACACCUCUUAGGUUUUUGUAGGCCACUUAUACACACAUUUAGAUCAAUACCACUAUUAUUACAGUUUACAGUAAUUCUUGAAGUAAAAAGAAAACAACAACAAAAAAAAAAACCGCAUUGCCGUCAAGUUGAUUCCAA
Long non-coding RNA from Loxodonta africana (African savanna elephant), 24656 nucleotides. RefSeq lists it as uncharacterized. NCBI's taxonomy places the organism in Eukaryota, Metazoa, Chordata, Mammalia, Proboscidea, Elephantidae. The record is from RefSeq and is a predicted model, not a curated record. The transcript is spliced from 5 exons.